Molecule: small nuclear RNA, 107 nt
Filed under: Microcebus murinus (gray mouse lemur)
Lineage: Eukaryota; Metazoa; Chordata; Mammalia; Primates; Cheirogaleidae
Source: RNAcentral
GUGCUUGCUUCAGCAGCACAUACACUAAAAUUGAAACAAUACGGAGAAGAUUAGCAUGGCCACAGCACAAGGAUAACACACAAAUCUGUGAAGCAUUUCUUAUUUUU